RNAcentral lists this unclassified non-coding RNA (253 nucleotides) under uncultured Sphingomonadaceae bacterium. RNAcentral describes it as "contains 16S-23S intergenic spacer region". It matches the Rfam family "Bacterial small subunit ribosomal RNA", at positions 524 to 776 of the family's 1533-position model. The record is from RNAcentral. Lineage: Bacteria; Pseudomonadati; Pseudomonadota; Alphaproteobacteria; Sphingomonadales; Sphingomonadaceae.
UACGAAGGGGGCUAGCGUUGUUCGGAUUUACUGGGCGUAAAGCGCGCGUAGGCGGUCUAUCAAGUCAGGGGUGAAAUCCCGGGGCUCAACCCCGGAACUGCCCUUGAAACUGGCAGACUAGAAUCUUGGAGAGGUCAGUGGAAUUCCGAGUGUAGAGGUGAAAUUCGUAGAUAUUCGGAAGAACACCAGUGGCGAAGGCGACUGACUGGACAAGCAUUGACGCUGAGGUGCGAAAGCGUGGGGAGCAAACAGG